Molecule: long non-coding RNA, 643 nt
Organism: Hipposideros armiger (great roundleaf bat)
Lineage: Eukaryota; Metazoa; Chordata; Mammalia; Chiroptera; Hipposideridae
Exons: 4
Source: RefSeq, a predicted model, not a curated record
CCUAGAGGAGGCAGCCAGACUCCUCAGGCCCCUCUGGCAGCGUCCCUGUGCGGCCAGGUGGUGUGUGUGCCCCACCCCACAGGCCCCUGGGCCUGAGGCCACGUGGCUGGACUGGAACAGGCGCCGUGGCUGUGCCAGCACAACGGGGAGGUGACCAGGCGUCUGUGCAGAAGCGUGGGAGCCCCCAACACGGUGCUGCCUGUCCCCCAGGCCCCGUGCAACCCGCUCCCUUUGUGUCUGCCAAGCUAUCAUGCUGGGCUCGGCUGAGGCUGCAGCCAGAACUUGAUGUUGAAAAGGACCUGGGACUUCGGUGUUUGGUCUCCAUCCUGCUCCCACAACUCAGCGAAGACAAGGAGACAGCUGAGCUUCCCCAGGACACCCCCACCCGUCUCCUGGAGUGUCCAGUCCUUUGUCAUGGAGAUGGUGAAGCUCGUGGAGCUGAUGUGGAUGUGGGCGGCUUCCCCAGCCUCCAGAGGCACCCGUGGACUCCUGGUGCCAGCCUGGUUUGACAUCAGAGCCGUCGCCAGGUGAGCCCCACGGGGGCCCAGGGUGGUGGCAGGAGAGGCAGUCCUGUGGGAUUAGACAACAAGAACUGCACAAACAUCUCAAUAUAGAGAGAAAAACAUAUAAAAUUCAAAACUUA